CCCUUAGAUGUCCUGGGCCGCACGCGCGCUACACUGAGUGUCUGAGAUACGAGUCUGCCUGGUCCGGCAAGGUCUAGGUAAUCGCUAAAAGACACAUCAUGCUUGGGAUAGAUUAUUGCAAAUAUUAAUCUUGAACGAGGAAUUCCUAGUAAGCGCAAGUCAACAGCUUGCGUUGAUUACGUCCCUGCCCUUUGUACACACCGCCCGUCGCGACUACUGAUUGGAUGUUUAAGCGAGGUUCUCGAACUGCUAGCGACUUAGCUUCGGUGAGGUCGCAGUGUGGGAAGUGAACCUAGCUUUGGUGUCUAGAGGAAGUAAAAGUCGUAACA
This 329-nucleotide ribosomal RNA is filed under the name uncultured eukaryote. RNAcentral's name for it is "partial 18S ribosomal RNA". It matches the Rfam family "Eukaryotic small subunit ribosomal RNA", at positions 1470 to 1796 of the family's 1831-position model. The record is from RNAcentral.